UUGUUUCCCACAUUUGAGAACUUGGAUUUGUUCUACUUGUAGCCAGAGAAGAUGGGUGACUGACAUCACGGUCUAGUUUUGCAGGAUAAUGAGUAGAGCUGAUUGUCUUCAAAAUGCACAGUUUUUCCUCGUGGGACUGUGGCUAUAUUUUCCACACCUUCUGCACCAUGCUCAGAACUUAGCUUUUAGAACGCUGCCCUCAGUUCCCCUAAAAGGAAGACAGGUGGUAUUCCAAGAAACAUAAAUACUGACAUGAUCAAUAGAACACUGUGUACCGUGAGAGGAAGAAUGUUUUAUGCUUGAAGAAAAUGCUUGGAAAAGGCUGAUUUGCAUCUGCUCUGCUCUCAGCUCAGAGACGGAUUUGAGCUGCAUAGUCCAAGACUGCAGGGGGAUGUUUUGCUCCCAUUCAGAAUAGAUUUAUAUAAAAACGGAACAUAACAAC
This is a long non-coding RNA of Felis catus (domestic cat), 442 nucleotides long. RefSeq lists it as uncharacterized. Lineage: Eukaryota; Metazoa; Chordata; Mammalia; Carnivora; Felidae. The transcript is spliced from 2 exons. The record is from RefSeq and is a predicted model, not a curated record.